Molecule: long non-coding RNA, 3910 nt
Organism: Nyctereutes procyonoides (raccoon dog)
Lineage: Eukaryota; Metazoa; Chordata; Mammalia; Carnivora; Canidae
Exons: 3
Source: RefSeq, a predicted model, not a curated record
GCCAGACCUCCGUUAGCACCUGCGGCUUCUCGGUGGAGCCCCGGGGCCAGCUCCCGGAGGAGCUGCGGGCUGUCGGGGGCCCCUUUCCUGUCUCAGCAUCCAAGUGAACACCAGACACUUCUCUCUGGCGGACCACAGAGUAGUGCGGGAAACACCUAUCAACAGGCUGCGGCCGUGGGCCGAAAACCACGACGCAGUUCGGCGGGGAUCGGUGUGAGGACGCGCGCAGAGUGAACGCGGGCGGCGGGCUCGGGCUUCGGGCUUCGGGCUUCGGGCUUCGGGCUUCGGGCUUCGGGCUUCGGGCUUCGUUGCGGACGCCCGGAGGAAGGCCCUGGGUUUAAGCAGACCCAAAGGACGGUCUGGCUGCUAAAGACUCAGAGAAGUGCUAGACUGGGUUAAUGGAGGUGGCUUAGGGGGCCCGGGGAGGACGGAGUGACCCCACAGUGAUCGGAGCAUAUCUGGAUUUUUAUUUUUUAUUUUUUUUUUUGGAUGAGUGUCACAUUUUAAGAGGGGCGUUAGCAGGCUGGAGCAACAUUGGGGGAAGGGGCAACGAUUGUAACCUGUUGGUGCCCUCACCCUGGGCUGGGCACCGUGGGGAAUAUGAAGAACACCACCGGGCCCAGGGGAGCAAGCGGCAAGGAGCAUGGGGUCUGCUGCAGACCAUAUACUAUCAUAAAUGGUAGAAUAACAGGAAUAUGAUAGAGGUAAGAAACUGCUGCAGAAGAGUAAGGAAAGAGCAAUUACUGUUGAGACACGGUAUCAGCUCUACACAUCCUUGAAUUCACUUCUGUCCACAGGAUGUAAGUCCCGCGGGCCUCUGAACGCAAGUCAACUACUACUUCUGACUCUGUGAGAGAGUGUGUAGUUUGGAUGCUUGUUAGACCUGUGCAGAAGACUUGAUGUCAGACUCUCGCUGUAGGGUUGCUGUAGUAGAGGAGAGAGCUCUGCUCCCAACACAGCAACACCGCUGAGAAUUGAUAGCCAACAGCAGAGUGAGGGGCUGCAGUGCUGUGACAUCAACCCCCAUCCUCCCGGUGAGCAUUCACUGCUCCUUCCUCUGGGCUCUCAGAGCUCGUUCUUCACACCCAGGCUGUAGCUCAAUGGUACUGCGUUGUUCCUGACCGGACUGUUGGAUCCUCAGGAGGAGACUCCUUCAACCAGCUGCGGCCAACUGCUUGUGAGAAAGCAAAACUGCGAGUUGCUGUAGAUGCCCAGAAGCAGCCUAAGGAAGAGGCGACAGUGAAACAACUAUUUCAUUACCGUCUCGAUUAGUCCUCGGACAGAAGGUCCCGGACGCGGUGGGCCAGUGUAACUCCGAGACCCGACCCUAUAGAGGAGUCAGAGGUUUCUCGGCCAGAGUGAUGUUGGAACCAAAUCCUGAAUGAGAAAUGGGAGUGCACAGAUGGAGGGGCAAGGGGACAGCAUUCCAGGCCCAGAGGGAGUAGCACCCUUGUGAGCCAGGAGUGAAUCCAUGAUGGUGACUGAGGCCUGAGGGAGGUGGGGCUAGAUGGGGCAGGACCCUGCCAGCUGCCCAGAGGCCUGGUGUGUUGGCUUACUUUUAAUCUUAACAGGAAUAAGAAAGCCCAGAAAGUUUCAGACUAGGAGCUGAUGGAUUCAGGGUUUUAGAGAGAUUUUCUGCCUUCUGGCCUGGAGGACGGCCGGCCCAGUGAGACCGCUAUCACAGUGAAGAACACAUUUCACUCCGGAGCCUGGUGAUACGCUGCUUUCAGAGAACAGUGUGUGUCCUUGAAACGGGACAGAGCUUCACUCCCUGCUCUCUUUAUUUUUUAUUGUAUUCUACUUCAGUGUUAUAAAAAUCCUGGUCUUGACCCACUAAUGAGAGCUGCGACUCAGUUUGUAAAAACACAGAACUAGAUGUCCCUUCAAGAUCGCUGCCAAACUUGAUGUUUGGUUCUGAAAUGCCAUUCCUGGGAUCCCUGGGUGGCGCAGCGGUUUGGCGCCUGCCUUUGGGCCAGGGCGCGAUCCUGGAGACCCGGGAUCGAAUCCCACAUCGGGCUCCCGGUGCAUGGAGCCUGCUUCUCCCUCUGUCUAUGUCUCUGCGCCUCUCUCUCUCUCUGUGACUAUCAUAAAUAAAUUAAAUUAAAAAAAAAAAAAGAUUGAAAUGCCAUUCCUCUAGUCCUGAGAUCCUCCAGCACUGCAUCUUAAAAAGAUUUGUUGUUGUUCACCAAACACAUGACAGGGACCCAGGGCAGGGAGGGCAUCAAAGACUGAGGAGGCCCACAGGCACAGGGAGGUCUGCAGAGGGAUACGAGUGGGUGUGAAUGGCCCAGGUACCAGUUGAGGAGGGAUCCAUGUGAGGACCUGAGCCUCAGCUUCUUCUUCUCUAAAAUGGGACGAUAAUAGCUGCUAUCUGAUUGUGAUGAUUAAGUGAGAUAAUGCAUGCGGGUACUUGUAGGGGCAAACAGGGAGUGUUCAAUAAAUGUUUCCUGUUUUUGAUGGUGUUGCUGUGUUUGCAUGAACGUUGUUAUGCAGAGGAUCCCAGAUGUCGUGUUAAAAGGUUAGACACCGUCUUUUAGGCCAUGGAGUCAUGAAUGGGGGCCAUGAUCCCAUAUUCCGGGGGUAAUUCCUGCUAGUUUAGGGGAAGAAACACAAAAGACUAAUAAACAGAAGGAAAGAUCUUUGACUAUGUCAGUUAACCAGCGAAAUGAAGGUUUAAGCAAGAUACCAUUUUCUGAAGAAAAAAAAAAAAAGAUACCAUUUUCUGGUUUGGCAGAUUGUCAAAAAAUUGAAAAGAUUGAAGAUUUCUGAGGUUAGGGUCUGGGAAAACGGUAUUCUCAAAUUCUUGUCAGUAAUAAUGUUAAGUUCAUACAACCUGUUUAGAGCACAAUUCGGCAGAACUUCCCGAAGUUGUAAAGAGUCAUUCUAUGUGACCCAGAAGUUCUCCUUGAAGGCAUUUGUCCCAUAAAUCUCCUGCUAGUACAGGCGUCUGUGUGCAUGGAUGGUUAUUUAUUAUGACAUUUGAAAUAGCCAGCAGUUGUAGGUGCCUGACUGUCUAUCACUGGACAAACAGCUAACAUACCACGUACGUUCAUACCACGCUGUCCUUUGUGGCCAUCCAAAGAGGGGAGUGGCCUGGUACAAUGUCCGGAAGGAUGCCCAUGGUAGUGAAAGAAGCCUGACAACAUGAGAGUGUGUACAGCACCUGGGCGGCUCAGUUGGUGGAGUGUUCGACUCUUGAUCUCAGGUCUUGAUCUCAGGGUUGUGAGUUCAAGCCCCAUGUUGGGUGUGGAGCCUACUUUAAAAGAAAAGAAAAGAAAGAAAAGAAAAGAGAAAAGAAAAGAAAAGAAAAGAAAGAAGGAAGGAAGGAAAGAGAGAGAGAGAGAGAGAGAGAGAAAGAAAGAAAGAAAGAAAGAAAGAAAGAAAGAAAGAAAGAAAGAUCUUUAUAUGUAUAGAAAAAUAUACCCUGAACAGUUAAGCUGAUAGUUGGGAGUGAGGGCCCCUAAUGUUCUGUGUUAGAUGUUUGUGUUGUUUAAAAGUUUUUUGAUCCUUUGGAUGUCCACCCCUUCAUGUAUCUCUUUAAGUACCCAUACUGUCAUCACACCUCUGUCAGUUUGGCCCUCUGGGAUCAUUAUAAUAUAUAUAUCCUUGUUUAUUGUGGGUCCAUCCCCAUAGCAGUAUCCCCCCUCCAUUUCCACUGUUUGCCCCACGCUCAGGAAACUCAUACUGUCAACCAGGGUGUUCUUUGGGUUGUUUUAUUUAAAAAGGAUCAGGCUGGGGAUGCCUGGGUGGCUCAGCAGUUGAGCUUCUGCCUUUGGCUCAGGGCCUGAUCCUAGGGUCCUGGGAUCGAGUCCUGCGUUGGGCUCCCCACAGGGAGCCUGUUCUCCCUCUGCCUAUGUCUCUGCCUCUCUCUCUCUGUGUCUCUCAUGCAUAAAGUAUUUAAAACAAACAA